GGUGAUGUUGGGGUGUUGGUCAACCCCAUCAGACUGUAAAUCUGACGUGAAAGCUGUCUAGGUUCGAAUCCUAGAUCACCC
RNAcentral lists this transfer RNA (81 nucleotides) under Acinetobacter phage YMC13/03/R2096. It matches the Rfam family "tRNA". Rfam says of the family: Transfer RNA (tRNA) molecules are approximately 80 nucleotides in length. Their secondary structure includes four short double-helical elements and three loops (D, anti-codon, and T loops). The record is from Rfam by way of RNAcentral. Lineage: Duplodnaviria; Heunggongvirae; Uroviricota; Caudoviricetes.